This 558-nucleotide long non-coding RNA is filed under the name Pan troglodytes (chimpanzee). RNAcentral describes it as "long non-coding RNA NONPTRT004242". The record is from RNAcentral. Lineage: Eukaryota; Metazoa; Chordata; Mammalia; Primates; Hominidae.
GAGUGAACAUCCAGAGGAAUCGCGGGGCGGGGUGGGGGGAGGCCAGGAGAACAGGUGGCGCAGGGAAGCAGAAACGUAGUUGCGCUGGACAGCUGGAGUGGGGCAGGGUCGGGGCCAGCGGCGAGGGGACAAGAAGGGCCGAUUCGAGAGGAAGCGCACCUGAGGAAGCACAGCGAAGGCCGGGAUGCAGGGAGCUGGGUGGAGAGCGAGCCUGGGCGGCGAAAGUUGAAAAUGCAACUGCAAGCUCCCCGGUGAGACAAAUACCGCCUUCAACCUUCGUAUUCUGUGGUGACUCAUCUCGCACGUGACACUCCCCCCCCCCUUCAAGGUGUGUUGACCGACUACAGUUUAAGCCUGUCGUCCCACAAAAGGCCCGGGAGGGCCGGGGUCCCAGGAAGGGCCAUCCUGGGUCAACACCGCCCCAGUUGGGAAGUCGGGCCGCUUUCGGACUUGCCACUGGAAAGGGAAGUGAUUUGGGGGCGGCAGGUAAGGCCGCGCCCCUUCGCCAUCACCUGGGGAAAGGUACCAGAGUUGAGCCGGGGCGCCCGCAGGCCUGUC